RNAcentral lists this unclassified non-coding RNA (391 nucleotides) under soil metagenome. RNAcentral's name for it is "partial contains 5.8S ribosomal RNA, internal transcribed spacer 2, and large subunit ribosomal RNA". The stretch from base 1 to 122 matches the Rfam family "5.8S ribosomal RNA", at positions 35 to 154 of the family's 154-position model. The record is from RNAcentral.
GAUGAAGAACGUAGCAAAAUGCGAUACUUGGUGUGAAUUGCAGAAUCCCGUGAACCAUCGAGUUUUUGAACGCAAGUUGCGCCCGAAGCCAUUAGGCCGAGGGCACGCCUGCCUGGGCGUCACACGUCGUUGCCCCCCCAUCUACUCCUUCGGGAUUGCGGGGGGCGGAUGAUGGCCUCCCGUGCGCCUCGUCGCGCGGUUGGCAUAAAUACCAAGUCCUCGGCGACGCACGCCACGACAAUCGGUGGUUGCGAAACCUCGGUUGCCCGUCGUGUGCGGUCGUCGCGCAUCGAGGGCUCGAAAAAAUUGCCGGGCUCCGGCUCGGCUUUCAACGCGACCCCAGGUCAGGCGGGGUUACCCGCUGAAUUUAAGCAUAUCAAUAAGCGGAGGA